Molecule: ribosomal RNA, 875 nt
Filed under: uncultured bacterium
Lineage: Bacteria
Description: bacterial SSU rRNA
Rfam family: Bacterial small subunit ribosomal RNA
Source: RNAcentral
GGAUCCAGACUUUGAUCCUGGCUCAGGAUGCCAGAUCAGCUGAGCGUCACAUGAGCUAGUCAACUACAUGCAAGUCGAGGGGAAAUGACAUCGAAAGCUUGCUUUUGAUGGGCGUCGACCGGCGCACGGGUGAGUAACGCGUAUCCAACCUGCCCACCACUUGGGGAUAACCUUGCGAAAGUAAGACUAAUACCCAAUGACGUCUCUAGAAGACAUCUGAAAGAGAUUAAAGAUUUAUCGGUGAUGGAUGGGGAUGCGUCUGAUUAGCUUGUUAGCGGGGUAACGGCCCACCAAGGCGACGAUCAGUAGGGGUUCUGAGAGGAAGGUCCCCCACAUUGGAACUGAGACACGGUCCAAACUCCUACGGGAGGCAGCAGUGAGGAAUAUUGGUCAAUGGACGAGAGUCUGAACCAGCCAAGUAGCGUGCAGGAUGACGGCCCUAUGGGUUGUAAACUGCUUUUAUAAGGGAAUAAAGUGAGUCUCGUGAGACUUUUUGCAUGUACCUUAUGAAUAAGGACCGGCUAAUUCCGUGCCAGCAGCCGCGGUAAUACGGAAGGUCCGGGCGUUAUCCGGAUUUAUUGGGUUUAAAGGGAGCGUAGGCCGGAGAUUAAGCGUGUUGUGAAAUGUAGACGCUCAACGUCUGCACUGCAGCGCGAACUGGUUUCCUUGAGUACGCACAAAGUGGGCGGAAUUCGUGGUGUAGCGGUGAAAUGCUUUAGAUAUCACGAAGAACUCCGAUUGCGAAGGCAGCUCACUGGAGCGCAACUGACGCUGAAGCUCGAAAGUGCGGGUAUCGAACAGGAUUAGAUACCCUGGUAGUCCGCACGGUAAACGAUGGAUGCCCGCUGUUGGUCUGAAUAGGUCAGCGGCCAAGC